This 253-nucleotide ribosomal RNA is filed under the name uncultured bacterium. RNAcentral describes it as "partial 16S ribosomal RNA". It matches the Rfam family "Bacterial small subunit ribosomal RNA", at positions 524 to 776 of the family's 1533-position model. The record is from RNAcentral.
UACGUAGGGUGCAAGCGUUAAUCGGAAUUACUGGGCGUAAAGCGUGCGCAGGCGGUGAUGUAAGACAGAUGUGAAAUCCCCGGGCUUAACUCGGAAAGGUCAACUGAUACUGUGCGACUAGAGUGCGGAAGGGGCAACUGGAAUUCUCGGUGUAGCGGUGAAAUGCGUAGAUAUCGAGAGGAACACCUGCGGCGAAGGCGGGUUGCUGGGCCGACACUGACGCUGAUGCGCGAAAGCCAGGGGAGCGAACGGG